GCAAGUCGAGGGGCAGCAUUUACUUCGGUAAGAUGGCGACCGGCGAACGGGUGCGUAACGCGUAUGCAACCUACCUUAUACAAAAGGAUAGCCCAUGGAAACGUGGAUUAAUACUUUAUAGUACUAUAAAACUUCCUGGUUUAAUAGUUAAAACUUCGGUGGUAUAAGAUGGGCAUGCGUAGGAUUAGGUAGUUGGUGAGGUAAUAGCUCACCAAGCCGACGAUCCUUAGGGGCCCUGAGAGGGGGAUC
This 249-nucleotide ribosomal RNA is filed under the name uncultured bacterium. RNAcentral describes it as "partial 16S ribosomal RNA". It matches the Rfam family "Bacterial small subunit ribosomal RNA", at positions 57 to 305 of the family's 1533-position model. The record is from RNAcentral.